GUGCUCAUUUUGGCAGCUCAUAUACUAAAAUUGGAAUGAAACAGAGAAGAUUAGCAUGGUCCCUGAGCAAGAGUGACAUGCAAAUUUGUGAAGUGCUCCAUAUUUUU
This is a small nuclear RNA of Acomys russatus (golden spiny mouse), 107 nucleotides long. NCBI's taxonomy places the organism in Eukaryota, Metazoa, Chordata, Mammalia, Rodentia, Muridae. The record is from RefSeq and is a predicted model, not a curated record.